Non-coding RNA from Camellia sinensis, 2600 nucleotides. The record is from RefSeq and is a predicted model, not a curated record. Lineage: Eukaryota; Viridiplantae; Streptophyta; Magnoliopsida; Ericales; Theaceae.
UAUCGAUCAAUGUGAGACGUUCGAUUUAUCGAAUCCCGAAGUGGCCCCACUGGACCAACAGCUAAAAGACAGUGAGAUCACAGACGAAACCACCAUGGCCUUGAAGAAGCUCAUCGCCACCACUCUCCGCCUCCGAUCCCUCUCCACGGCCGCGGCCGUCGCUCCAACUCCGCCACCCACGGCAGAACCCUACGAAGUCGGAGAGAAAUGAGCCGGCUUUAUGAGAUGGUGAAGGAGGGGAUUGAAGAGCAUCCACUGAUCCAUAGACCUUUCGCAAUGGGAAUUGCAAUUCAGUGAGAAGAGAUGAAUGUAAUUACAAUAUUGUGCAGGUCUAGUCCAUUUAGCUGCAUCUUGGGCAGCUUGGGUGUGUGGGGUCAACCGGCGCAACCCUGAGCAACAAGAAAGCAAAAAUGCUGCGGCAUUGUGUUGUCUUUGCGAUCUUUUGGAUUAUUUGGUUGGAAAGGAAUGUGAGAAUCUUUGUGGUCGCAUAUUUGGAUUCAAUUUGGGAGAGAGAGUGUCAUUUGGCUUCGUUUUAGGCUCAUGUCUCUCCUUUGUUUAAAGGGGUUUCACUUUUUUUGAUUUCCGAAGAUUGGAAAGCUGUUUGUGAAUCUUCAUAUCUUUUCUUUGAUAUGCUUUAUCGUGGUUUUUUAUGUUGUGUAAGAGGACAUCUUGUCCUCUCUUUGUACCUCUUUUUUCAGUAUUAAUGAAUUAUCUUUUUGUUGCUCUGAUAUAAAAUUUAAAAAAGGAAAAAGAAAAGAAAAGAAAAGAAGAGAGAAAUGGAAAUCACCACUGCUGCAUGUUCCGCUGUGUGUGUGUGAAUUGAGUACAGUUAUGUGGCUUCAGAAUUCAGAUUAGGAAUAGAUGGUGAGAGUCUUUAAGAUUGGAAAUGGGCCAUUUACUACAUAAAGUUUCCCUUGUAAAGAGAACUUGAGAUGAGUUGAAAGAGAGAAAAAGAGAUUGCAAACAAACAAGUGCCGGCCAUAUAGACAAAAAUAGGAGAAAGCUGAAAAUGAAGUGGAUUGAAGCUGUGGAAGGAGGGAUCAGAAGCAUGCAUUAAACAGUUGAGUGUUUGACGUCAGGGUUGUACUUUGUUUCAAGAAUCUUGAAACUUUGUCUUGGACUAGAUAGAUCAAGUAGUAGAUAUACAUAUUCUGUAUUACCAUUUGAUUUUUCUUAGAAAGUUCAAGUGUCAUUUUAUCUUGGCUCAGUUGGAUCCACUUGUAGAUCCAAAGUCUGAUGUCCUGGUUUUCCUUAGUUUAUCAAGAAUUUCCAAUUCUUGCUCGAGUCUGCCUUUGUCAUGCUUGAUCAACUGUUGGAAGCAUCUCGGCUGUGGUACUGUUAAAUAAUUCCUUCUUUCUUAAAAAAUGUUGUAUGUGGAUCAAGUUUGGUCUAAUGCCAGAACCGCUGAUGUUACAUUUUUCUGUUAUUUUUGGUUAACCAAAAAUGUGGAAUGGUUUUAUUCUUAAUAGUUUUCAAAAUCCUCAGGUUGUCAGAUAUGUCAAAGCUUGUUCUGGCUUUGAUCGCUCAGAUUUGGUCCAAUAAAAGUAGUUUGUGUGGUGCGUAUGGCAUUUUGUGGAAACCUUCAGUGGAAUGUUUUCAGGCCCAUCUCUUUUAUAGAUUAUUUCUAAACAUGCAAACACUUUGGUUGGCAUUUCUCAAGAAUCCGUUGAAGUUAAGUUUGUGUAUGUGCUGGGGAACUAUCGAACAAAAUUUCUUUAUUGAUUUAGCGUCAUCAUGGCAUGAGAUUUUCCUACCUUCGCUCUACUUGGUGUAAGCUGGAGUGUACAAUCUUGAAGCCUUAUUCUUGUGUCAUUAUAGGGGAAAGAAGAUAAAACAGAGUAUCUCGUGAUCACCAUUUCUAACUCAACAUUUAGAAAUUCCAAGUUUUCAUGUCUUAGCUCACAUCUAGUCUUCCUCGUUGUUGAGUUUGAAGUUGAUAUGAGGUUUCAUUUUUUGGACUUAUUUCUUUCUUUCAUGAUCAGCUCAGAGUUUCUGUAUGAUGAUUCAACUGUUUAAGCAUUGGAGACAAAGUGAAUUUGCUGAUAUUCUGAAAUUUCAUGUAACUUGAUCCUAACAUUCUUGCCGUGCCGUGGCAUGCUAAGGGGAACAUGUUGCAGAUAUGCGUCAAUUCUAACUGAUGACUGUUUGGUUGAGGGAGUAUGAUUUGAAAGUGUGUUGUAAAACCUAAAGCCAGAUCUCAGAUCAGUAGUUUUGUUAAUUUGUUCUUCAUGUAGCAUCCCUUUUAUUGCAACAAACAUAAAAUAUCUGUUAGUUGGGGCACCAAGAAGUCCAAUUUUUGUACUUAUAUUAAAUUGAAUAGCUGACUUUGCAUUCAUUGUUUUUGUAUCACGUGUAUAAUUUAUCUUUACAAUGGCUUGAUCACAGCCUCAGACACAGUUCUUUGGACUCCUUAGGUUUGUUAUUCCUAUUAAACAUACUUGUCCAUGUGUUUUAUUUGAUCUGGGAAAGAUGGUCAUAGAAACUGGAUAGCUAUUUUGGUUAAUCAUAACAGUUAUAUUACAGACCUUCAAAUUGAUUUUAGUAGGUGCCAAACCUUUCUCCUCUCUUCUUUUUUUUUUUUUUUUUUUUUUUUUUUUUUU